RNAcentral lists this long non-coding RNA (931 nucleotides) under Monodelphis domestica (gray short-tailed opossum). Its description in RNAcentral is "lncRNA (ENSMODG00000048810.1)". Lineage: Eukaryota; Metazoa; Chordata; Mammalia; Didelphimorphia; Didelphidae. The record is from RNAcentral.
AGCUAGAGGGCUGGAACCAGAUUCAACCUGGCCCAGGACCCAAUGUCGGUGUCCCGCUGGGUCGGCUGGCAGGGCUGCAGCUCUGGAAGCACCAGCUUAGGCCCACAGUACGUGAGGUUGAGGUCGCAAAGCGGCGGGACAGCCUCUGGAUUGGACAGCACUGCACCUGGGAUGAGAACCCCCGUCCCUCCAAGUGAUGGCGGCAGGUGAGGGCGGCAUAGGAGCAGAGGAGAAGGGGCGGCUCGGACAUGCGCAGCAACUCGCCCUGGGCGCCUGGGCGCGAGCCCACGUCGUCGUUUUGAGCCCAUAGUCGAAGAUCACGUGCACGUCAAACCUCACGAACUUGGCCAGCACUUCAUCAGCAAGGUUCAUUGAUUGGUGGCAGCAGGGGCAGGCGGGAGGGGCACCACAGAUAACGUUUUCAGCCCGCUCAGCCCCAGAAAGACACGUGAUGACUUGCAGCCCUCGCUCCCCCCGCCCCCGCGCUCACUGGCCACUAUCCGGGAAAGGAACGUGCUUUGCCCAGCCUUCUGGUCGGGAGGAGCUGGGCAGAGGCAAAUGGGGUACACAGCCGUUUUUCAGAAGUUGUCCUUGAUUCUCAGCAGGUUCCUCUCGAAGGGUACUCACACCAUCGGACUCUGUGCCCAAGAAUGGGCGCCCAGGUGGCAGUGGGAGCUACGUUCUUCUGCCCCAUGCCCCACCCCUCUUCCCCUGACCCUAAAGCUUCAAAGAUUCAAUGUUGCUGUCUUCUGCUCUCCCCAGCUAGAGAUCAACUCUGCCUGUCAGACUCAUUCAGAAGACCUGAACCUGAACUUUGAGGAGUGCUAACCCACUUGAUUCAUUUCAGAGAGGAGGGGAAUUGGCGACCAGGGUUAUUUGCCAUUGAGCAAAUAAUUUGAAAAAAGGAAUAAACAGGAUUAGAAAUUGAGCA